CCUACGGGAGGCAGCAGUGGGGAAUUUUGGACAAUGGGCGAAAGCCUGAUCCAGCCAUGCCGCGUGCAGGAUGAAGGCCUUCGGGUUGUAAACUGCUUUUGUACGGAACGAAACGGUCUCUUCUAAUAAAGGGGGCUAAUGACGGUACCGUAAGAAUAAGCACCGGCUAACUACGUGCCAGCAGCCGCGGUAAUACGUAGGGUGCAAGCGUUAAUCGGAAUUACUGGGCGUAAAGCGUGCGCAGGCGGUUAUAUAAGACAGUUGUGAAAUCCCCGGGCUCAACCUGGGAACUGCAUCUGUGACUGUAUAGCUAGAGUACGGUAGAGGGGGAUGGAAUUCCGCGUGUAGCAGUGAAAUGCGUAGAUAUGCGGAGGAACACCGAUGGCGAAGGCAAUCCCCUGGACCUGUACUGACGCUCAUGCACGAAAGCGUGGGGAGCAAACAGGAUUAGAUACCCUGGUAGUCCACGCCCUAAACGAUGUCAACUGGUUGUUGGGUCUUCACUGACUCAGUAACGAAGCUAACGCGUGAAGUUGACCGCCUGGGGAGUACGGCCGCAAGGUUGAAACUCAAAUGAAAUUGACGG
Molecule: ribosomal RNA, 586 nt
Filed under: uncultured bacterium
Lineage: Bacteria
Description: bacterial SSU rRNA
Rfam family: Bacterial small subunit ribosomal RNA
Source: RNAcentral